GCGGGCGUAGUUCAAUGGUAGAACUUCAGCCUUCCAAGCUGAAAGUGUGGGUUCGAUCCCCAUCGCCCGCU
RNAcentral lists this transfer RNA (71 nucleotides) under Gammaproteobacteria bacterium. Its description in RNAcentral is "tRNA-Gly". It matches the Rfam family "tRNA". From Rfam's summary of the family: Transfer RNA (tRNA) molecules are approximately 80 nucleotides in length. Their secondary structure includes four short double-helical elements and three loops (D, anti-codon, and T loops). Further hydrogen bonds mediate the characteristic L-shaped molecular structure. tRNAs have two regions of fundamental functional importance: the anti-codon, which is responsible for specific mRNA codon recognition, and the 3' end, to which the tRNAs corresponding amino acid is attached (by aminoacyl-tRNA synthetases). tRNAs cope with the degeneracy of the genetic code in two manners: having more than one tRNA (with a specific anti-codon) for a particular amino acid; and 'wobble' base-pairing, i.e. permitting non-standard base-pairing at the 3rd anti-codon position. RNAcentral also lists the same sequence under 1 other name. Lineage: Bacteria; Pseudomonadati; Pseudomonadota; Gammaproteobacteria. The record is from RNAcentral.